Spinacia oleracea (spinach) is the source of this 73-nucleotide non-coding RNA. The record is from Rfam. Lineage: Eukaryota; Viridiplantae; Streptophyta; Magnoliopsida; Caryophyllales; Amaranthaceae.
GUGUCUGUAGCUCAGCGGAUAGAGUGUUUAUUUCCUAACCAAAAGGUCGUGGGUUCGAUCCCUAGCUGAUGCA